GAUGAACGCUGGCGGCGUGCUUAACACAUGCAAGUCGAACGAAGCACUUUAUUUGAUUUCCUUCGGGACUGAUUAUUUUGUGACUGAGUGGCGGACGGGUGAGUAACGCGUGGGUAACCUGCCUUGUACAGGGGGAUAACAGUUGGAAACGGCUGCUAAUACCGCAUAAGCGCACAGCAUCGCAUGAUGCAGUGUGAAAAACUCCGGUGGUGUAAGAUGGACCCGCGUUGGAUUAGCUAGUUGGUGAGGUAACGGCCCACCAAGGCGACGAUCCAUAGCCGACCUGAGAGGGUGACCGGCCACAUUGGGACUGAGACACGGCCCAAACUCCUACGGGAGGCAGCAGUGGGGAAUAUUGCACAAUGGGCGAAAGCCUGAUGCAGCGACGCCGCGUGAGCGAAGAAGUAUUUCGGUAUGUAAAGCUCUAUCAGCAGGGAAGAUAAUGACGGUACCUGACUAAGAAGCACCGGCUAAAUACGUG
Molecule: ribosomal RNA, 481 nt
Filed under: uncultured bacterium
Lineage: Bacteria
Description: partial 16S ribosomal RNA
Rfam family: Bacterial small subunit ribosomal RNA
Source: RNAcentral